Molecule: ribosomal RNA, 94 nt
Organism: Sorex araneus (European shrew)
Lineage: Eukaryota; Metazoa; Chordata; Mammalia; Eulipotyphla; Soricidae
Source: Ensembl
AAACAAGGCCAUACUACCUUGAACGCGCCCAAUCUUUUCUGAUCUCGGAUAAUCUAAUCAAGACAAGGGUGUCUAAUCUUACCAUUUAUGUUUU